CAUGUAGGCGGAUUAAUAAGUUUGAAGUGAAAUCCUAUAGCUUAACUAUAGAACUGCUUUGAAAACUGUUAAUCUAGAGUGUGGGAGAGGUAGAUGGAAUUUCUGGUGUAGGGGUAAAAUCCGUAGAGAUCAGAAGGAAUACCGAUUGCGAAGGCGAUCUACUGGAACAUUAUUGACGCUGAGAUGCGAAAGCGUGGGGAGCAAACA
Molecule: ribosomal RNA, 207 nt
Filed under: uncultured bacterium
Lineage: Bacteria
Description: partial 16S ribosomal RNA
Rfam family: Bacterial small subunit ribosomal RNA
Source: RNAcentral